Pelobates cultripes (western spadefoot toad) is the source of this 473-nucleotide non-coding RNA. NCBI's taxonomy places the organism in Eukaryota, Metazoa, Chordata, Amphibia, Anura, Pelobatidae. The record is from the annotation of a GenBank genome assembly.
UGAACUUAUGAGUUUUUGGACAGUUUCUGCUUCAAUUUGUUUGCAAGAUGUCAGAAUAGCUUCCCAGAGCUGCUGUUUGGAUGUAAACUGCCUCCCACCCUCAUAGAUCUUUUGCUUGAGGAUGCUCGAAAGGUUCUCAAUAGGAUUGAGGUCAGGGGAGGAUGGAGGCCACACCAUGACUUUCUCUCCUUUUAUCCCCAUAGCAGCCAUUUAUGCAGAGGUAUUAUUUGCAGCAUGAGAUGGUGCAUUGUCAUGCAUGAAGAUGAUUUUAUUACGAAAGCAUAGUUCUUCCUUCUGUACCAGGCAAGAAAGUGAUCAGUCAGAAACUCCACAUACUUUUCAGUGGUCAUCUUUACACCUUCAGGGACCGUAAAGGGGCCGACCAGCUCUCUUCCCAUGAAUCCGGCCCAAAACACGACUCCACCACCGCCUUGCUGACGUCGCAGCCUUGUUGGAACAGGGUGGCCGUGCAC